GUUAAGCGGCGUACACGGUGGAUGCCUAGGCAGUCAGAGGCCGAUGAAGGACGUGCUAAUCUGCGAAAAGCGUCGGUAAGCUGAUAUGAAGCGUUAUAGCCGGCGAUGUCCGAAUGGGAAAACCCAGUGCAUUAAUGCACUAUCGUUUGAUGAAUUCAUAGUCAAACGAGGCGAACCGGGGGAACUGAAACAUCUCAGUACCCCGAGGAAAAGAAAUCAACCGAGAUUCCCCUAGUAGCGGCGAGCGAACGGGGAGUAGCCCAAACCAACAAGCUUGCUUGUUGGGGUUGUAGGACACUCUAUACGGAGUCAGCAUCGAUAUUAGCAUCAGGAGAAGGGUCUGGAAAGGCCAGCCAUAAAGGGUGAUAGCCCCGUAUCCGAAGGUGUUAGUAUCGUGAGCUCGAAGAGUAGGGCGGGACACGUGUUAUCCUGUCUGAAUAAGGGGGGACCAUCCUCCAAGGCUAAAUACUCCUGACUGACCGAUAGUGAACCAGUACCGUGAGGGAAAGGCGAAAAGAACCCCGGCGGAAGGGGAGUGAAAGAGAACCUGAAACCGUGUACGUACAAGCAGUGGGAGCCCCAUAAUGGGUGAUGGCGUGCCUUUUGUAUAAUGGGUCAGCGAGUUAUGAUUUGAUGCAAGGUUAAGCAGCUAAUGUGGAGCCGUAGCGAAAGCGAGUCUGAAUAGGGCGUUUAGUAUUUGGUCGUAGACCCGAAACCAGGUGAUCUACCCUUGGUCAGGUUGAAGUUCAGGUAACACUGAAUGGAGGACCGAACCGACUUACGUUGAAAAGUGAGCGGAUGAACUGAGGGUAGCGGAGAAAUUCCAAUCGAACUUGGAGAUAGCUGGUUCUCUCCGAAAUAGCUUUAGGGCUAGCCUCAAGUGAUGAUUAUUGGAGGUAGAGCACUGUUUGGACGAGGGGCCCUUCUCGGGUUACCGAAUUCAGACAAACUCCGAAUGCCAAUCAAUUUAACUUGGGAGUCAGAACAUGGGUGAUAAGGUCCGUGUUCGAAAGGGAAACAGCCCAGACCACCAGCUAAGGUCCCAAAAUCUAUGUUAAGUGGAAAAGGAUGUGGCGUUGCCCAGACAACUAGGAUGUUGGCUUAGAAGCAGCCAUCAUUUAAAGAGUGCGUAAUAGCUCACUAGUCGAGUGACACUGCGCCGAAAAUGUACCGGGGCUAAACCUAUUACCGAAGCUGUGGAUUGUCCGUAGGACAAUGGUAGGAGAGCGUUCUAAGCGCGUCGAAGCAUGAUCGCAAGGACAUGUGGAGCGCUUAGAAGUGAGAAUGCCGGUGUGAGUAGCGAAAGACGGGUGAGAAUCCCGUCCACCGAUUGACUAAGGUUUCCAGAGGAAGGCUCGUCCGCUCUGGGUUAGUCGGCUCCUAAGCUGAGGCCGACAGGCGUAGGCGAUGGAUAACAGGUUGAUAUUCCUGUACCACCUAGGAUCGUUUUACUCGAAGUGGGGACGGAGAAGGCUAGGCUAUCCGGGCGACUGGAUUGCCCGUUUAAGCGGUAGGACUGGGUGUGAGGCAAAUCCGUCACUCAUAACAUGAGGCUGUGAUGACGAGACCAAGGUGGUUCCUCGAGUAGUUGAUGCCACACUUCCAGGAAAAGCCGCUAGAUAGGUAAUCCUUAAUCGUACCCCAAACCGACACAGGUGGUUAGGUAGAGAAUACUCAGGCGCUUGAGAGAACUCGGGUGAAGGAACUAGGCAAAAUGGUGCCGUAACUUCGGGAGAAGGCACGCUCGUUAGGGUUAACGCCCAGAAGAGCCGCAGUGAAUAGGCUCAAGCGACUGUUUAUCAAAAACACAGGUCUCUGCUAAACCGUAAGGUGAUGUAUAGGGGGUGACGCCUGCCCGGUGCUGGAAGGUUAAGAGGGGUAGUAAGCUUCUGCGAAGCUCUUGAUCGAAGCCCCAGUAAACGGCGGCCGUAACUAUAACGGUCCUAAGGUAGCGAAAUUCCUUGUCGGGUAAGUUCCGACCUGCACGAAUGGCGUAAUGAUUUGGGCACUGUCUCCACCCGAGACUCAGUGAAAUCAUAGAACCUGUGAAGAUGCAGUGUACCCGCGGCAAGACGGAAAGACCCCGUGAACCUUUACUAUAGCUUGACACUGAAAUUGAGCCUUGAUUGUACAGGAUAGGUGGGAGGCUAAGAAGUGUGGACGCCAGCUUACGUGGAGCCAACGUUGAAAUACCACCCUAGCUGUGUUUGAUUUCUAACCCGCACCACUUAUCCGGGUGAGAGACAGUGUCUGGUGGGUAGUUUGACUGGGGCGGUCUCCUCCCAAAGUGUAACGGAGGAGCACGAAGGUUGGCUAAUCACGGUCGGACAUCGUGCAUAGAGUGCAAAGGCAUAAGCCAGCUUGACUGCGAGCGUGACGGCGCGAGCAGGUACGAAAGUAGGUCUUAGUGAUCCGGUGGUUCUGAAUGGAAGGGCCAUCGCUCAACGGAUAAAAGGUACUCCGGGGAUAACAGGCUGAUACCGCCCAAGAGUUCAUAUCGACGGCGGUGUUUGGCACCUCGAUGUCGGCUCAUCACAUCCUGGGGCUGAAGUAGGUCCCAAGGGUAUGGCUGUUCGCCAUUUAAAGUGGUACGCGAGCUGGGUUUAGAACGUCGUGAGACAGUUCGGUCCCUAUCCGUCGUGGGCGUAGGAAAUUUGAGAGGAGCUGUCCUUAGUACGAGAGGACCGGAGUGGACGCACCACUGGUGUACAGGUUGUCAUGCCAAUGGCAUCGCCUGGUAGCUAAGUGCGGAAGAGAUAACCGCUGAAAGCAUCUAAGCGGGAAACUUGCCUCAAGAUGAGUCUUCCCUGACAGUAAUGUCCUAUAAGGGGUGUUCGAGACGAGGACGUAGAUAGGCUGGGUGUGUAAGCGUAGCGAUACGUUGAGCUAACCAGUACUAAUGACCCGAGAGGCUUAACC
This 2919-nucleotide ribosomal RNA is filed under the name Arsenophonus nasoniae (son-killer infecting Nasonia vitripennis). RNAcentral's name for it is "23S ribosomal RNA". It matches the Rfam family "Bacterial large subunit ribosomal RNA". The record is from RNAcentral. Lineage: Bacteria; Pseudomonadati; Pseudomonadota; Gammaproteobacteria; Enterobacterales; Morganellaceae.